GUCCGGGUGGCUCAGUCGGUUGAGCGUCUGACUUCAGCCCAGGUCAUGAUCUCGUGCUCGUGGGUUCAAGCCCCAUGCCGGGCU
RNAcentral lists this transfer RNA (84 nucleotides) under Felis catus (domestic cat). It matches the Rfam family "tRNA". From Rfam's summary of the family: Transfer RNA (tRNA) molecules are approximately 80 nucleotides in length. Their secondary structure includes four short double-helical elements and three loops (D, anti-codon, and T loops). Lineage: Eukaryota; Metazoa; Chordata; Mammalia; Carnivora; Felidae. The record is from Rfam by way of RNAcentral.